This is an RNA transcript of Vigna unguiculata (cowpea), 1173 nucleotides long. It is a transcript of the gene named Photosystem II reaction center PsbP family protein, with no coding region annotated. The record is from RefSeq and is a predicted model, not a curated record. NCBI's taxonomy places the organism in Eukaryota, Viridiplantae, Streptophyta, Magnoliopsida, Fabales, Fabaceae.
UAAAAAUCUGGAUAACGAUUAACAAACACCUUCUUCUAACGACCUUGUCACCUCUCCUCGAUUCAUCCUAUGACGAUGAAACAUUGAAACCCAAUUCCACAAACCUUAAACCAAAUCCUUAAAUCCACAAAAUAAAAUGGCUUUAAGAAGUUCCUUUACCUUUCCACGCUCUACUUUCUUCCACCAACACUCUCAAUCCACCUAUGCUUCUUCCAGAUUCUUCGUCUCAAUCUUGCUCCCCAAACCCACUUCACUCACCUGCAUUCACGAAUCCCACAAAGAUAUGCACUUGGCACCAUCUUUUACCAAGAGGAACCUCAACUUCACUCUUCUUCUCACAAUGUUUCUGUGGGCUCAGCCUGUGCCGUUGCCAAAUAUGGGUGAUGCACUCUUAUUGGCUCAAGAAUUGGAGCUUCAGAGAUACACUGAUUCCAAUCAAGGUUUCACUCUUCUUACACCCUCUUCUUGGGCUAAGGUUGAUAAAGCAGGGGCAACUGUGUUGUUUGAAGAGCAAAAUAUGGGAAGUAACAAUAUUGGGGUUGUUGUAAGCCCAGUUCGUCUUAAGUCUCUUGAAGAGUUCGGGACACCUCAGUUCGUUGCUGAUAAGCUCUUACAAGCCGAAAAACGUAAGGAAAGUACAAAGGAGGCUGAAUUGAUUACAGUAGCAGAAAGAUCAGGAGAGGGAGGGUUGCAAAUUUAUGAAUUUGAAUACAAGGUGGAUAGUACUCGUGGAGGGAUGAAGAGGAUAUUUUCUGCAGCAUUUGUGGCCUCAAAGAAGCUCUAUCUUCUAAACAUUGCUCACUCUGAUAAACCAGAGAGUCCUCUUGACCCGCAUAAGAGAAUAAUUUUAGAGCAAGUACUCCAUUCCUUUGAUGCAGCAGCUUAAACUGUGGCGUGCCGAUUCCAAAUUGAUUUACUAAGUGGAUGCUCGUACGUGAUUAAUAUUUAAGUUGAUCUAAGUUUAAUGGAUCGAUUGGAAUAUUUUGUCGAAACCCAAAUUGUCGCAUUACCCGAUCAACUUGAUGGAAUUCUACUGUGGCAAAACAGAUCAAAGGAACUACAGCCCGACUAACAGGAGAAACUUCAACAUUAGUCACAACAUUAAUCAAGGGAGAGACAUCGUCCUUGCGGUAAGGAGUCCACAAAAACUGUAAAAAUUAUCAUUAGUAUGAG